Molecule: ribosomal RNA, 2904 nt
Filed under: Escherichia coli
Lineage: Bacteria; Pseudomonadati; Pseudomonadota; Gammaproteobacteria; Enterobacterales; Enterobacteriaceae
Description: 23S ribosomal RNA
Rfam family: Bacterial large subunit ribosomal RNA
Source: RNAcentral
GGUUAAGCGACUAAGCGUACACGGUGGAUGCCCUGGCAGUCAGAGGCGAUGAAGGACGUGCUAAUCUGCGAUAAGCGUCGGUAAGGUGAUAUGAACCGUUAUAACCGGCGAUUUCCGAAUGGGGAAACCCAGUGUGAUUCGUCACACUAUCAUUAACUGAAUCCAUAGGUUAAUGAGGCGAACCGGGGGAACUGAAACAUCUAAGUACCCCGAGGAAAAGAAAUCAACCGAGAUUCCCCCAGUAGCGGCGAGCGAACGGGGAGCAGCCCAGAGCCUGAAUCAGUGUGUGUGUUAGUGGAAGCGUCUGGAAAGGCGCGCGAUACAGGGUGACAGCCCCGUACACAAAAAUACACAUAUUGUGAGCUCGAUGAGUAGGGCGGGACACGUGGUAUCCUGUCUGAAUAUGGGGGGACCAUCCUCCAAGGCUAAAUACUCCUGACUGACCGAUAGUGAACCAGUACCGUGAGGGAAAGGCGAAAAGAACCCCGGCGAGGGGAGUGAAAAAGAACCUGAAACCGUGUACGUACAAGCAGUGGGAGCACGCUUAGGCGUGUGACUGCGUACCUUUUGUAUAAUGGGUCAGCGACUUAUAUUCUGUAGCAAGGUUAACCGAAUAGGGGAGCCGAAGGGAAACCGAGUCUUAACUGGGCGUUAAGUUGCAGGGUAUAGACCCGAAACCCGGUGAUCUAGCCAUGGGCAGGUUGAAGGUUGGGUAACACUAACUGGAGGACCGAACCGACUAAUGUUGAAAAAUUAGCGGAUGACUUGUGGCUGGGGGUGAAAGGCCAAUCAAACCGGGAGAUAGCUGGUUCUCCCCGAAAGCUAUUUAGGUAGCGCCUCGUGAAUUCAUCUCCGGGGGUAGAGCACUGUUUCGGCAAGGGGGUCAUCCCGACUUACCAACCCGAUGCAAACUGCGAAUACCGGAGAAUGUUAUCACGGGAGACACACGGCGGGUGCUAACGUCCGUCGUGAAGAGGGAAACAACCCAGACCGCCAGCUAAGGUCCCAAAGUCAUGGUUAAGUGGGAAACGAUGUGGGAAGGCCCAGACAGCCAGGAUGUUGGCUUAGAAGCAGCCAUCAUUUAAAGAAAGCGUAAUAGCUCACUGGUCGAGUCGGCCUGCGCGGAAGAUGUAACGGGGCUAAACCAUGCACCGAAGCUGCGGCAGCGACGCUUAUGCGUUGUUGGGUAGGGGAGCGUUCUGUAAGCCUGUGAAGGUGUGCUGUGAGGCAUGCUGGAGGUAUCAGAAGUGCGAAUGCUGACAUAAGUAACGAUAAAGCGGGUGAAAAGCCCGCUCGCCGGAAGACCAAGGGUUCCUGUCCAACGUUAAUCGGGGCAGGGUGAGUCGACCCCUAAGGCGAGGCCGAAAGGCGUAGUCGAUGGGAAACAGGUUAAUAUUCCUGUACUUGGUGUUACUGCGAAGGGGGGACGGAGAAGGCUAUGUUGGCCGGGCGACGGUUGUCCCGGUUUAAGCGUGUAGGCUGGUUUUCCAGGCAAAUCCGGAAAAUCAAGGCUGAGGCGUGAUGACGAGGCACUACGGUGCUGAAGUAACAAAUGCCCUGCUUCCAGGAAAAGCCUCUAAGCAUCAGGUAACAUCAAAUCGUACCCCAAACCGACACAGGUGGUCAGGUAGAGAAUACCAAGGCGCUUGAGAGAACUCGGGUGAAGGAACUAGGCAAAAUGGUGCCGUAACUUCGGGAGAAGGCACGCUGAUAUGUAGGUGAAGCGACUUGCUCGUGGAGCUGAAAUCAGUCGAAGAUACCAGCUGGCUGCAACUGUUUAUUAAAAACACAGCACUGUGCAAACACGAAAGUGGACGUAUACGGUGUGACGCCUGCCCGGUGCCGGAAGGUUAAUUGAUGGGGUCAGCGCAAGCGAAGCUCUUGAUCGAAGCCCCGGUAAACGGCGGCCGUAACUAUAACGGUCCUAAGGUAGCGAAAUUCCUUGUCGGGUAAGUUCCGACCUGCACGAAUGGCGUAAUGAUGGCCAGGCUGUCUCCACCCGAGACUCAGUGAAAUUGAACUCGCUGUGAAGAUGCAGUGUACCCGCGGCAAGACGGAAAGACCCCGUGAACCUUUACUAUAGCUUGACACUGAACAUUGAGCCUUGAUGUGUAGGAUAGGUGGGAGGCUUGGAAGUGUGGACGCCAGUCUGCAUGGAGCCGACCUUGAAAUACCACCCUUUAAUGUUUGAUGUUCUAACGUUGACCCGUAAUCCGGGUUGCGGACAGUGUCUGGUGGGUAGUUUGACUGGGGCGGUCUCCUCCUAAAGAGUAACGGAGGAGCACGAAGGUUGGCUAAUCCUGGUCGGACAUCAGGAGGUUAGUGCAAUGGCAUAAGCCAGCUUGACUGCGAGCGUGACGGCGCGAGCAGGUGCGAAAGCAGGUCAUAGUGAUCCGGUGGUUCUGAAUGGAAGGGCCAUCGCUCAACGGAUAAAAGGUACUCCGGGGAUAACAGGCUGAUACCGCCCAAGAGUUCAUAUCGACGGCGGUGUUUGGCACCUCGAUGUCGGCUCAUCACAUCCUGGGGCUGAAGUAGGUCCCAAGGGUAUGGCUGUUCGCCAUUUAAAGUGGUACGCGAGCUGGGUUUAGAACGUCGUGAGACAGUUCGGUCCCUAUCUGCCGUGGGCGCUGGAGAACUGAGGGGGGCUGCUCCUAGUACGAGAGGACCGGAGUGGACGCAUCACUGGUGUUCGGGUUGUCAUGCCAAUGGCACUGCCCGGUAGCUAAAUGCGGAAGAGAUAAGUGCUGAAAGCAUCUAAGCACGAAACUUGCCCCGAGAUGAGUUCUCCCUGACUCCUUGAGAGUCCUGAAGGAACGUUGAAGACGACGACGUUGAUAGGCCGGGUGUGUAAGCGCAGCGAUGCGUUGAGCUAACCGGUACUAAUGAACCGUGAGGCUUAACCUU